UCCUCAUCGUAGUUGUAGGUGCUCAUCGCGGCCGGCUAUAUCUGUCGCACCACAUUCGGGCGCCGACUAAGACUCGUGUGUUUUUUUUAUAUUUAUUUUCAAUACUGUAAUUUAAGGCGAUAAGAAAAAAGAAGAUGGAAGAUAGAAGAAGCAGUAAUGCGACAUGCAUACAUACAUAUGCAGAAUGCAGGCUCCUCUUGCUGCUGUAGCUGCAAAGCUCAUCCAAAUUGCUGUGCUCAGAACAAAUAUCGUCGCUAUGUCCAUCCAUCCAAGUUAAUCGUUUUUGUCUUUUAUCAUUCUAAGCUUCUAUUUGUAUGUAUCAUACAUACAUACACACCUUGAAGGGGGUUACCAAUAGGGGCGACUCAAUUUCAAAUUUAUAUCAAUGAAACAAAUUUGUGUUGCUGAUAUGAAAAUAAAUGGUGAAAUGUAA
Anastrepha obliqua is the source of this 433-nucleotide long non-coding RNA. RefSeq lists it as uncharacterized. The transcript is spliced from 2 exons. The record is from RefSeq and is a predicted model, not a curated record. NCBI's taxonomy places the organism in Eukaryota, Metazoa, Arthropoda, Insecta, Diptera, Tephritidae.